GGCCGCGUGGCCCAAUGGCAAGGCGCUUGACUACGAGUUUUCAACUUGAUAUCAAGAGAUUGCAGGUUCGAGCCCUGCCGUGGUCA
Molecule: non-coding RNA, 86 nt
Organism: Tricharina praecox
Lineage: Eukaryota; Fungi; Ascomycota; Pezizomycetes; Pezizales; Pyronemataceae
Source: the annotation of a RefSeq genome assembly